RNAcentral lists this ribosomal RNA (1002 nucleotides) under Paracorniculantispora psalliotae. RNAcentral describes it as "SSU rRNA". It matches the Rfam family "Eukaryotic small subunit ribosomal RNA", at positions 79 to 1092 of the family's 1831-position model. The record is from RNAcentral. Lineage: Eukaryota; Fungi; Ascomycota; Sordariomycetes; Hypocreales; Cordycipitaceae.
CAGCGAAACUGCGAAUGGCUCAUUAUAUAAGUUAUCGUUUAUUUGAUAGUACCUUACUACUUGGAUAACCGUGGUAAUUCUAGAGCUAAUACAUGCUAAAAAUCCCGACUUCGGAAGGGAUGUAUUUAUUAGAUUAAAAACCAAUGCCCUUUGGGCUCCUUGGUGAUUCAUAAUAACUUUUCGAAUCGCAUGGCCUUGCGCCGGCGAUGGUUCAUUCAAAUUUCUUCCCUAUCAACUUUCGAUGUUUGGGUAUUGGCCAAACAUGGUCGCAACGGGUAACGGAGGGUUAGGGCUCGACCCCGGAGAAGGAGCCUGAGAAACGGCUACUACAUCCAAGGAAGGCAGCAGGCGCGCAAAUUACCCAAUCCCGAUUCGGGGAGGUAGUGACAAUAAAUACUGAUACAGGGCUCUUUUGGGUCUUGUAAUUGGAAUGAGUACAAUUUAAAUCCCUUAACGAGGAACAAUUGGAGGGCAAGUCUGGUGCCAGCAGCCGCGGUAAUUCCAGCUCCAAUAGCGUAUAUUAAAGUUGUUGUGGUUAAAAAGCUCGUAGUUGAACCUUGGGCCUGGCUGGCCGGUCCGCCUCACCGCGUGUACUGGUCCGGCCGGGCCUUUCCCUCUGUGGAACCUCAUGCCCUUCACUGGGUGUGGCGGGGAAACAGGACUUUUACUUUGAAAAAAUUAGAGUGCUCCAGGCAGGCCUAUGCUCGAAUACAUUAGCAUGGAAUAAUGAAAUAGGACGUGUGGUUCUAUUUUGUUGGUUUCUAGGACCGCCGUAAUGAUUAAUAGGGACAGUCGGGGGCAUCAGUAUUCAAUUGUCAGAGGUGAAAUUCUUGGAUUUAUUGAAGACUAACUACUGCGAAAGCAUUUGCCAAGGAUGUUUUCAUUAAUCAGGAACGAAAGUUAGGGGAUCGAAGACGAUCAGAUACCGUCGUAGUCUUAACCAUAAACUAUGCCGACUAGGGAUCGGACGAUGUUAUUUUUUGACGCGUUCGGCACCUUACG